This 1224-nucleotide ribosomal RNA is filed under the name Chryseobacterium sp. KXJ06. RNAcentral describes it as "bacterial SSU rRNA". It matches the Rfam family "Bacterial small subunit ribosomal RNA", at positions 152 to 1379 of the family's 1533-position model. Lineage: Bacteria; Pseudomonadati; Bacteroidota; Flavobacteriia; Flavobacteriales; Weeksellaceae. The record is from RNAcentral.
CGAAAGGAAGAUUAAUACCCCAUAAUAUAUUAAGUGGCAUCACUUGAUAUUGAAAACUCCGGUGGAUAGAGAUGGGCACGCGCCAAGAUUAGAUAGUUGGUGAGGUAACGGCUCACCAAGUCCAUGAUUCUUUAGGGGGCYUGAGAGGGUGAUCCCCCACACUGGUACUGAGACACGGACCAGACUCCUACGGGAGGCAGCAGUGAGGAAUAUUGGACAAUGGGUGAAAGCCUGAUCCAGCCAUCCCGCGUGAAGGACGACGGCCCUAUGGGUUGUAAACUUCUUUUGUAUAGGGAUAAACCCAGAUACGUGUAUCUGGCUGAAGGUACUAUACGAAUAAGCACCGGCUAACUCCGUGCCAGCAGCCGCGGUAAUACGGAGGGUGCAAGCGUUAUCCGGAUUUAUUGGGUUUAAAGGGUCCGUAGGCGGAUCUGUAAGUCAGUGGUGAAAUCUCAUAGCUCAACUAUGAAACUGCCAUUGAUACUGCAGGUCUUGAGUAAGGUAGAAGUGGCUGGAAUAAGUAGUGUAGCGGUGAAAUGCAUAGAUAUUACUUAGAACACCAAUUGCGAAGGCAGGUCACUAUGUCUUAACUGACGCUGAUGGACGAAAGCGUGGGGAGCGAACAGGAUUAGAUACCCUGGUAGUCCACGCUGUAAACGAUGCUAACUCGUUUUUGGGUUUUCGGAUUCAGAGACUAAGCGAAAGUGAUAAGUUAGCCACCUGGGGAGUACGAACGCAAGUUUGAAACUCAAAGGAAUUGACGGGGGCCCGCACAAGCGGUGGAUUAUGUGGUUUAAUUCGAUGAUACGCGAGGAACCUUACCAAGGCUUAAAUGGGAAUUGACAGGCUUAGAAAUAGGCUUUUCUUCGGACAAUUUUCAAGGUGCUGCAUGGUUGUCGUCAGCUCGUGCCGUGAAGGUGUUAGGUUAAGUCCUGCAACGAGCGCAACCCCUGUCACUAGUUGCCAUCAUUCAGUUGGGGACUCUAGUGAGACUGCCUACGCAAGUAGAGAGGAAGGUGGGGAUGACGUCAAAUCAUCACGGCCCUUACGCCUUGGGCCACACACGUAAUACACAUGGCCGGUACACGAGGGCAGCUACACAGCGAUGUGAUGCAAAUCUCGAAAGCCGGUCUCAGUUCGGAUUGGAGUUGCAACUCGACUCUAUGAAGCUGGAAUCGCUAGUAAUCGCGCAUCAGCCAUGGCGCGGUGAAUACGUUCCCGGGC